Populus trichocarpa (black cottonwood) is the source of this 960-nucleotide long non-coding RNA. RefSeq lists it as uncharacterized. Lineage: Eukaryota; Viridiplantae; Streptophyta; Magnoliopsida; Malpighiales; Salicaceae. The record is from RefSeq and is a predicted model, not a curated record. The transcript has 3 exons.
GUAGUACCUGAAACUAGAGCUGCCCUUCAAUGGCAGAAGCAGAGAAAACUGGAAGAAAUACAAUAAAGGGAAAGAUAGGAGAUAGAAAAGAAGCAGAAAACAAAACAUCAUCAAAGUCGAAAUGGCCUCUCAUUAAACACAAGAAGAAUCUCCAAAUUACUCGUCUCAAAGAGAACGAUCUCUUUACUGUACAAGGCUGGUCAGCACUUUGGAUGACAUGUUGAUGGAAGUGUUAAUCUGGGUGAUGGGAAGUGCACUCAUUAUACUCUUUUAAUAUAUUUAAGUGGUGCGAAUAAAGCCAAAACUAAAACUGAUCCAAACAGCCAGAUGGAUUCUUUCUCAGAGCCUCUAGUUGGAGGAGAGACUGUCUUCUAUGGCUCAAGGAAUAGUGUUUUGGCUGAUGUGGCUCCUGCUGAAGGGAUGGUUCUCCUACAUAUUCAUGGGGACAAGUGUAUGCUGCAUGAAGCUCGGAAUGUUACUAAGGGUGUGAAAUACAUUUUCCGUUCAGAUGCAUGUUUUGCUUGAAUCUCUACGAUCUUUUUUAUAUCAAGCAAUCUCUGUAAGCUUUUCACUUUAGGUCCCUCAACUUAUACUGUCUUAUAUUUUCCCGUGUUAAAACAGGAUCCCGACUUCUUUUAAUUUUUUUUAAUUUUUCUUGGGUUCAUCUUGGGAUUACAUUUGAAAUUUUGGCACAUCUUGUUGUAAUUUACUAUUCUUCUUAGACAAACCCAAUUUUUGUAUUGUGGAGGUAACUCAACAUGUAAAAUGAGCCGGCCUGGGUGUAGCUCUUGUAAUGCCAGGAUCAUUUAUCCAAGAGAAGUUUGUGGAUUCCAUUGUUCUUUCUGUAUGCUGCUGCUGAACAAUGGUGUUGUAGAAUGCACAUUAGUCUGUUGACUUUGCCUUCUCCUUUUCUGAAAGGCAGUCUGUUGGCGAUUUGUCAUUACUGGAUUGAGAUUUGAA